AAACCGCAUGGUUUUGAUUUGAAAGGCGCUUUCGGGUGUCGCUGAUGGAUGGACCCGCGGUGCAUUAGCUAGUUGGUGAGGUAACGGCUCACCAAGGCCACGAUGCAUAGCCGACCUGAGAGGGUGAUCGGCCACAUUGGGACUGAGACACGGCCCAAACUCCUACGGGAGGCAGCAGUAGGGAAUCUUCGGCAAUGGACGAAAGUCUGACCGAGCAACGCCGCGUGAGUGAAGAAGGUUUUCGGAUCGUAAAACUCUGUUGUUAGAGAAGAACAAGGAUGAGAGUAACUGUUGAUACUCUUGACGGUAUCUAACCAGAAAGCCACGGCUAACUACGUGCCAGCAGCCGCGGUAAUACGUAGGUGGCAAGCGUUGUCCGGAUUUAUUGGGCGUAAAGCGAGCGCAGGCGGUUUCUUAAGUCUGAUGUGAAAGCCCCCGGCUCAACCGGGGAGGGUCAUUGGAAACUGGGAGACUUGAGUGCAGAAGAGGAGAGUGGAAUUCCAUGUGUAGCGGUGAAAUGCGUAGAUAUAUGGAGGAACACCAGUGGCGA
This 550-nucleotide ribosomal RNA is filed under the name Enterococcus faecium. RNAcentral's name for it is "bacterial SSU rRNA". It matches the Rfam family "Bacterial small subunit ribosomal RNA", at positions 183 to 718 of the family's 1533-position model. The record is from RNAcentral. Lineage: Bacteria; Bacillati; Bacillota; Bacilli; Lactobacillales; Enterococcaceae.